GACGAACGCUGGCGGCGUGCUUAACACAUGCAAGUCGAACGGAAAGGCCCCUUUGGGGGUCCUCGAGUGGCGAACGGGUGAGUAACACGUGAGUAGCCUGCCCUUGACUUCGGGAUAACUUCAGGAAACUGGGGCUAAUACCGGAUAGGAAUCCUUGCUGCAUGGUGGGGGUUGGAAAGCUUCGGCGGUUUUGGAUGGACUCGCGGCUUAUCAGCUUGUUGGUGGGGUAGUGGCUUACCAAGGCUUUGACGGGUAGCCGGCCUGAGAGGGCGACCGGCCACAUUGGGACUGAGAUACGGCCCAGACUCCUACGGGAGGCAGCAGUGGGGAAUAUUGCACAAUGGGCGGAAGCCUGAUGCAGCAACGCCGCGUGCGGGAUGACGGCCUUCGGGUUGUAAACCGCUUUCAGCAGGGGCGAAGCUUGUGGUGACGGUACCUGCAGAAGAAGCACCGGCUAACUACGUG
This 465-nucleotide ribosomal RNA is filed under the name uncultured bacterium. RNAcentral describes it as "partial 16S ribosomal RNA". It matches the Rfam family "Bacterial small subunit ribosomal RNA", at positions 28 to 507 of the family's 1533-position model. The record is from RNAcentral.